UGCUUGGGGGUCUGCCGCCGCGCCUCCUCCUCGUCCUCGUCCUCCCACACGGGCAUGGAGAUGGAGUAGUGCAGGAUCAGCGUCCACACCAGGCCCAGGAUCAGCUUCAGGUUCCCAUCCACGAUGGCUUUGCUGUCGAUGGACACCAACUUGAUAUUCUCCCUCUCCAAGAAGUCGAGAGCCACCGACACGUUCUCGAGCUGCAUCUGCCGGAACGUGGGCCGGGCGUUGUACCUCCGGCCGAGCUUCUUCUGGCUCAGCACCUCGAGCAGCGCGAUGAGCCUCAGCCCGUCGCCCAGGUCGGUCUGCAGGUUGCCCACUCGUUUCUGCACGCACUUCAGGUGCUCGUUGCACCACCGCGUGAACGUGUUCUGCUGGAUCCGCUUCCACGGAGCGUCGUCCGCCAGGUCCUUCUCGGUCGCCGGCAUCUCGGCCUCGGGCUCGCGCGCCCGCCCCGCCGCGCUCAUGGCGCCUGGAGGAG
RNAcentral lists this long non-coding RNA (481 nucleotides) under Gallus gallus (chicken). The record is from RNAcentral. Lineage: Eukaryota; Metazoa; Chordata; Aves; Galliformes; Phasianidae.